RNAcentral lists this ribosomal RNA (505 nucleotides) under uncultured bacterium. Its description in RNAcentral is "partial 16S ribosomal RNA". It matches the Rfam family "Bacterial small subunit ribosomal RNA", at positions 28 to 507 of the family's 1533-position model. The record is from RNAcentral.
GACGAACGCUGGCGGCGUGCCUAAUACAUGCAAGUAGAACGCACAGUUUAUACCGUAGCUUGCUACACCAUAGACUGUGAGUUGCGAACGGGUUAGUAACGCGUAGGUAACCUGCCUGGUAGCGGGGGAGAACUAUUGGAAACGAUAGCUAAUACCGCAUAAUAUUAAUUAUUGCAUGAUAAUUAAUUGAAAGGUGCAAUUGCACCACUACCAGAUGGACCUGCGUUGUAUUAGCUAGUAGGUGAGGUAACGGCUCACCUAGGCGACGAUACAUAGCCGACCUGAGAGGGUGAUCGGCCACACUGGGAAUGAGACACGGCCCAGAAUCCUACGGGAGGCAGCAGUAGGGAAUCUUCGGCCAUGGACGAAAGUCUGACCGAGCAACGCCGCGUGAGUGAAGAAGGUUUUCGGAUCGUAAAGCUCUGUUGUAAGAGAAGAACGGGUGUGAGAGUGGAAAGUUCACACUGUGACGGUAUCUUAACAGAAAGGGACGGCUAACUACGUG